Molecule: unclassified non-coding RNA, 400 nt
Filed under: uncultured fungus
Lineage: Eukaryota; Fungi
Description: sequence contains ITS1
Source: RNAcentral
ACCGUCAAUUCAUUUGAGUUUUAACCUUGCGGCCGUACUCCCCAGGCGGGCAACUUCACGCGUUAGCUACGGUACUGAGGAAUCGCUCCCCCAACACCCAGUUGCCAUCGUUUAGGGCGUGGACUACCAGGGUAUCUAAUCCUGUUUGCUCCCCACGCUUUCGUGCCUGAGCGUCAGUGUCAGCCCAGGGGGCUGCCUUCGCCAUCGGUGUUCCUCCAGAUCUCUACGCAUUUCACUGCUACACCUGGAAUUCCACCCCCCUCUGCCACACUCCAGCUCGCCAGUUUUCACGGCCAUUCCCAGGUUGAGCCCGGGGCUUUCACCGCAAACACAACGAACCGCCUGCGCACGCUUUACGCCCAGUAAUUCCGAUUAACGCUCGCACCCUACGUAUUACCGC